RNAcentral lists this ribosomal RNA (192 nucleotides) under Triticum aestivum (bread wheat). Its description in RNAcentral is "partial small subunit ribosomal RNA". The record is from RNAcentral. Lineage: Eukaryota; Viridiplantae; Streptophyta; Magnoliopsida; Poales; Poaceae.
GUUUCCACACAGUCCCACAAAUGCAAGAGAUAGAAUUUAUAACUUGCUAUCCUCUUGCCUAAUAGGCAAAGAUUGGCCUCUGUAGGAAGACAGAUUCAUUCAGAUCGAUAUGAGGACCCAACUCUAUUGCAUUGCCAAAAUCCAUGUUCCAUAACAAUUACAUGCUUUUUUUCCCGUGUCGAAUCUAGGUAG